Molecule: unclassified non-coding RNA, 258 nt
Filed under: Hevea brasiliensis (rubber tree)
Lineage: Eukaryota; Viridiplantae; Streptophyta; Magnoliopsida; Malpighiales; Euphorbiaceae
Source: RNAcentral
GUUUUUGCUUAAAGAGUGGCUGCCUCUUUUAAAUGAAGCAAAAUCUGCUUUGGACAAAAUCAGAUUGGAGAGCUUGACAGGCGAGCAAGCUUGAUGUUCAACUUGAGCUCUUCCUCCGCAUUGUUCCUGACAAAACUUACAACACAUUGCCCAUCAUUGAUGGUGGUAUUGGCAUGACCAAGGUUGGUAGUGUGUCACUUAUGGCACUGUGUUUUUAAUUCGUGUUGAUUUUUUUUUUUUUAAUUUUUAUAAACCCAC